RNAcentral lists this ribosomal RNA (457 nucleotides) under uncultured bacterium. RNAcentral's name for it is "bacterial SSU rRNA". It matches the Rfam family "Bacterial small subunit ribosomal RNA", at positions 29 to 531 of the family's 1533-position model. The record is from RNAcentral.
AACGAACGCUGGCGGCAGGCCUAACACAUGCAAGUCGAGCGCCCCGCAAGGGGAGCGGCGGACGGGUGAGUAACACGUGGGAAUUUUCCUCAAGGUACGGAACAACUCAGGGAAACUUGGGCUAAUACCGUAUGAUGCAGAGAUGCCAAAGAUUUAUCGCCUUGGGAUAAGCCCGCGUCAGAUUAGGUAGUUGGUGGGGUAAUGGCCUACCAAGCCUGUGAUCUGUAGCUGGUCUGAGAGGACGAUCAGCCACAUUGGGACUGAGACACGGCCCAAACUCCUACGGGAGGCAGCAGUGGGGAAUCUUGCGCAAUGGACGAAAGUCUGACGCAGCCAUGCCGCGUGAAUGAUGAAGGUCUUAGGAUUGUAAAGUUCUUUAGCCUGUGACGAUGAUGACGGUAACAGGAGAAUAAGCCCCGGCUAACUUCGUGCCAGCAGCCGCGGUAAUGUCUGUACU